UGGGUAACCUGCCCAUAAGACUGGGAUAACUCCGGGAAACCGGGGCUAAUACCGGAUAACAUUUUGAACCGCAUGGUUCGAAAUUGAAAGGCGGCUUCGGCUGUCACUUAUGGAUGGACCCGCGUCGCAUUAGCUAGUUGGUGAGGUAACGGCUCACCAAGGCAACGAUGCGUAGCCGACCUGAGAGGGUGAUCGGCCACACUGGGACUGAGACACGGCCCAGACUCCUACGGGAGGCAGCAGUGGU
RNAcentral lists this ribosomal RNA (247 nucleotides) under Bacillus sp. 159a_5T. RNAcentral's name for it is "partial 16S ribosomal RNA". It matches the Rfam family "Bacterial small subunit ribosomal RNA", at positions 118 to 357 of the family's 1533-position model. The record is from RNAcentral. Lineage: Bacteria; Bacillati; Bacillota; Bacilli; Caryophanales; Bacillaceae.